Sinocyclocheilus anshuiensis is the source of this 1546-nucleotide long non-coding RNA. RefSeq lists it as uncharacterized. The record is from RefSeq and is a predicted model, not a curated record. Lineage: Eukaryota; Metazoa; Chordata; Actinopteri; Cypriniformes; Cyprinidae. The transcript has 2 exons.
UAACACUGAAAAAAAAAAAGAAAAUUCUGAAAUCUUUUACUCACCUCACGUUAACUCAAAUCAGUAUGACUGACUUUCUUUCAUGGAACACAAAAUGAAGUGAACAUUCACAUUCGGACUAAUAUGUGACUAUAUUGUCCUUGUUGGAGUCUGAUAGCAUCUGUUCCUAUUCACUUUAAUUUUCUUGUGUGUUCUAUGGAAGGAAGAAAGAUUUUAUCAAGGUCAUAUUUUUUUUUUUGCAACAACAUGAGGGUGAAUAAAUGUAGAUUAAAUUUUCAUUUUUAAAGUGAACUGUUGCUGUAAAGUCACAUCUUGUUCUCAUCUAUGCAGCUGUCUGUAAUUUAAUGAAGAAGGCAUUACAUGGAUUCAGAAAGGUGUACCAAAGAACUUAGUUGUGUAUUACCAAAGAUAAAAAAUAAUGUGCAAGACUUUUCAAAGCAGUAUUAGAUAUUAACCUAAUUUUUUAAAUCUACGUAAAUAUAAAAGGGAUUGACCCUUUUGCUUUUUUGUACAGUAUGUUUUGACAAUGUGUUAGAGUACUGGAAUGUGACAAUAGGUCCGACUCGAGUCAAACUGGGAAGGAACUGAUUGCUUUUUGCUGAUUGUGAGUUAAUUUAGAUGUAAAGACAGAAUGACACAGCAAGGUUUCUAUGGUAUGAGAGAGAAUGGUAGGACAUUUUCUAUAUUAUGUAUACUAUAAAUGGAAGCUGCAGGUGAUCUGAAAUCCAUUAAGGUUUCCAUAUUAGUUUAGCGCUGACAUACAUGAUGGAAAUAAAAUGGUCGGAUGCACAACGGGAGAGGUGAAAAAAUAAAGCAUCAGGAGUUUCCCAAGAGGGCAAAAACAGGAGAAGAGAGGAUUCUAUAUGAGUUAAUCUUCACAGCAUUUCAGCAUUUCACGUAAAAGGGAUUCUGGGUUUAGGGUGAUUGAGUGCUCUGUUGGUACAAUAAGGUGAGAUAAUUGCUUUUUUUAUAUACAUUUCACACAAAUAAACAUAUUUAAUGGGGCACUUGUAAGGUUUAUCAUAUACGUAAACAUACGUAAACAAGUAUACACACUGUAUUCUGUGUGAUAAACAGUAAUUCACACUACUUAAUACCGUAUGUUUGUCUGUCGUAGUUCUGAAAUUGAGUUGAUCACUAGCAGUCAUUUAAGGAUUAAGUUUUAAGGUUCAUGCAUACCAAGUGUACUCAUGUUUGCCUGCGCUCAAACAUUGGAUCACCACACAUGAGAAAAUCAUUCUCUGUGUUGGUGCAUCAGCAGAUUUUUGAGUAUUUGCAUACGGGGAAUUUUGAUUGACAGGGACAUCAGCUGUAAAGUGACUUGGCGCCUUUGGUGAGAAUAAUGUUAUCACUUUCAAGGAUGCUGUACAGCCCCUGUGUGCUUGUGCGAUCCUUUAUUUGGAUUAUGGGAGAUGUUAUACAUGAUUCAACUUACAUAUACAAUUUCUUUAAGUUUGAUAUCAUGUCUGAAUAACCAGCCUCAUUAUUAUCUCUGUCUGUUUUCUGUUCUGUUUUUAAAUUAAGUGAAUAAACACAAACAAUAUCA